Molecule: long non-coding RNA, 1076 nt
Filed under: Felis catus (domestic cat)
Lineage: Eukaryota; Metazoa; Chordata; Mammalia; Carnivora; Felidae
Description: lncRNA (ENSFCAG00000051995.1)
Source: RNAcentral
GUACCAUUGUGAUGUCAUUGUGAUGCCUUUUUGACAUGUCAGCUUGGCUAGCCUGACCUAAAGUCCUCAGGAUGCCCUAUUCAAAUGUCUUCAGUUAGGUACAGCUAAAGGGGUCUGCUCUCAGGGGAGCUGGAGGGCAAAAAGGAAGCUGGUGGUCAUUUUGUAGCACGUACAAGUCUCUCCCAGUGACUCAACCACUAAUAUUGAUGCUGCUGUGAAGGGAGUGCACAGAUAUGAUUCAAGACCCUAAUCAGUUGACUUUGGUUUAAUCAGGAUGGAGAUUAUCCAGGGUAGGCCUGAUUUAAUCAGUUUGUUCUUGAAACUUCCUUCCUGACCACUCCCUCUACACUGGGAGUUUCAGCUCAUGAUUGUGGGUUCGGUCUGCUUGUAUUCUUCCUGAAUACCUGUCCUACAGACUUUAGAAUUUCUUAGCUAGCCUCAACAAUUGCAUGAGCCAACUUCAUGUAAUAAUUCCUAGAUGUACAUGGAGUGGCACAGCUUGGAUUUCAUCUUGUCAGAUCCUGGAAUUUCAGCACUGACAAGUGUAUUCCUAUCCUGUUCCUGUGAUCUAUUAUUUUCACCUAUCAAUUUGCCUUCAAAUUUCAAAAUGAGGUUGGACCUCCUGAGAUCCUACAGUGUACAGAGCCCCUCUGCCAACCCUCAGUGGACACUCGAUAUAACAGGGAAAACUAAACCUUUUCUUUAGGACAUUGGAAUGUUGGUGUUAUUUGUUACAUAGAAUGACCUAGCUCAUUCUAACCAACAGAUCUGGCAAGUUAUAGGUCAAGCUGCAUAAUUUAAAGCCUCCCCUGCAGGAGACUUCGCUUUGACAAGAGUAGAGGAAAAGAGUGGUGCUUAUAGACUCCCUAAGUUCCCAAAACUUUGAUUAAUAGAGAUGACUGACAUGACUCAGAGUUAAUGCUUCGAGUUAAUGCUCAGAGUUAAUUAGUCCAUUGCCAUUUGCAGUACAAAAGCCUACUUACACUUCUUAGUAAAGACAAUGACAAGCAAAAGAGAAGGAAGAAAGAUAGGGUGGGGGAAAUAAAUCGAUGUGAGGAAUUUUAAGGCUGAUUGCU